GGGAGCGAUCAUACCAGCACUAAUGCACCGGAUCCCAUCAGAACUCCGAAGUUAAGCGUGCUUGGGCGAGAGUAGUACUAGGAUGGGUGACCUCCUGGGAAGUCCUCAUGUUGCACCCC
This 119-nucleotide ribosomal RNA is filed under the name Eucalyptus grandis. The record is from RNAcentral. Lineage: Eukaryota; Viridiplantae; Streptophyta; Magnoliopsida; Myrtales; Myrtaceae.